RNAcentral lists this transfer RNA (85 nucleotides) under Spirochaetales bacterium. Its description in RNAcentral is "tRNA-Leu". It matches the Rfam family "tRNA". Rfam says of the family: Transfer RNA (tRNA) molecules are approximately 80 nucleotides in length. Their secondary structure includes four short double-helical elements and three loops (D, anti-codon, and T loops). Lineage: Bacteria; Pseudomonadati; Spirochaetota; Spirochaetia; Spirochaetales. RNAcentral also lists the same sequence under 2 other names. The record is from RNAcentral.
GCUGCGGUGGUGGAAUUGGUAGACACGCUAGCUUGAGGGGCUAGUGGACGGUAAGUCCGUGGAGGUUCAAGUCCUCUUCGCAGCA